Molecule: ribosomal RNA, 397 nt
Filed under: Anopheles nili 'oveng form'
Lineage: Eukaryota; Metazoa; Arthropoda; Insecta; Diptera; Culicidae
Description: partial 28S ribosomal RNA
Source: RNAcentral
UUCGGAAAAAGGACAGCUACUAGAUGGUUCGAUUGGUCUUUCGCCCCUAUGCCCAAUUCUGACAAUCGAUUUGCACGUCAGAAUUGCUUCGGUCCUCCAUCAGGGUUUCCCCUGACUUCAACCUGAUCAGGCAUAGUUCACCAUCUUUCGGGUCGCAUCCUACGCACUCGGGGGAUGCCCGCUGGGUGGCGCACGUGUGACCGCACGCCAGCCCGUACCGGGGCACCCUGGGAUGGAGGGAGGCGUCCGUGGCUUGCGCCAAGCGCGCCCCCGUAAUCCCGCGACGAAACCGUCUCGAGUUGUCUGCGCCUGUGGGGUUCUCGGUGCACUGGGGCGGGCCCACACGGAUGCGGGUCCGCGCCCCAACGCCCAUUGGCUCGCGCGUAAGAUAGACUUC